RNAcentral lists this ribosomal RNA (420 nucleotides) under uncultured bacterium. RNAcentral describes it as "bacterial SSU rRNA". It matches the Rfam family "Bacterial small subunit ribosomal RNA", at positions 355 to 776 of the family's 1533-position model. The record is from RNAcentral.
UGAGGAAUAUUGCGCAAUGGCCGAAAGGCUGACGCAGCGACGCCGCGUGAGGGAUGAAAUCCGUUAGGAUGUAAACCUCUUUUACAGGGGAUGAAUGUCCCGUUUGACGGGAUUGACAGUACCCUGGGAAUAAGGAUCGGCUAACUACGUGCCAGCAGCCGCGGUAAUACGUAGGAUCCGAGCGUUGUCCGGAAUUACUGGGUGUAAAGGGCGUGUAGGUGGGUUCCUAAGUCGAUGGUGAAAUCCUGCAGCUUAACUGCAGAACUGCCUUCGAUACUGGGGAUCUUGAGUGCGGCAGAGGGAGAUGGAAUUCAUGGUGUAGCGGUGAAAUGUGUAGAUAUCAUGAAGAACACCGGUAGCGAAGGCGGUCUCCUGGUCCGCAACUGACACUGAGGCGCGAAAGCGUGGGGAGCAAACAGG